AGACCCGAAACCCGGUGAUCUAGCCAUGGGCAGGUUGAAGGUUGGGUAACACUAACUGGAGGACCGAACCGACUAAUGUUGAAAAAUUAGCGGAUGACCUGUGGCUGGGGGUGAAAGGCCAAUCAAACCGGGAGAUAGCUGGUUCUCCCCGAAAGCUAUUUAGGUAGCGCCUCGUGAAUUCAUCUCCGGGGGUAGAGCACUGUUUCGGCUAGGGGGCCAUCCCGGCUUACCAACCCGAUGCAAACUGCGAAUACCGGAGAAUGUUAUCACGGGAGACACACGGCGGGUGCUAACGUCCGUCGUGAAGAGGGAAACAACCCAGACCGCCAGCUAAGGUCCCAAAGUCAUGGUUAAGUGGGAAACGAUGUGGGAAGGCCCAGACAGCCAGGAUGUUGGCUUAGAAGCAGCCAUCAUUUAAAGAAAGCGUAAUAGCUCACUGGUCGAGUCGGCCUGCGCGGAAGAUGUAACGGGGCUAAACCAUGCACCGAAGCUGCGGCAGCGAACGUAUCACCCAAGACAACUUUACGGAGUUGACGAUUGACGGAGCGAAGCGACGUCAAAGCGUUCAUUAAAGUCGAGUUGGCUUAGGGAUACGUUCGUUGGGUAGGGGAGCGUUCUGUAAGCCUGUGAAGGUGUGUCGUGAGGCAUGCUGGAGGUAUCAGAAGUGCGAAUGCUGACAUAAGUAACGAUAAAGCGGG
This 698-nucleotide ribosomal RNA is filed under the name Salmonella enterica subsp. enterica serovar Typhimurium. RNAcentral's name for it is "partial 23S ribosomal RNA". It matches the Rfam family "Bacterial large subunit ribosomal RNA", at positions 711 to 1321 of the family's 2925-position model. The record is from RNAcentral. Lineage: Bacteria; Pseudomonadati; Pseudomonadota; Gammaproteobacteria; Enterobacterales; Enterobacteriaceae.